AGUGGACGCAUCACUGGUGUUCGGGUUGUCAUGCCAAUGGCACUGCCCGGUAGCUAAAUGCGGAAGAGAUAAGUGCUGAAAGCAUCUAAGCACGAAACUUGCCCCGAGAUGAGUUCUCCCUGAGACUUUAAGUCUCCUGAAGGAACGUUAAAGACGAUGACGUUGAUAGGCCGGGUGUGUAAGCGCAGCGAUGCGUUGAGCUAACCGGUACUAAUGAACCGUGAGGCUUAACCUUACAACGCCGAAG
This 247-nucleotide ribosomal RNA is filed under the name Klebsiella pneumoniae. Its description in RNAcentral is "partial 23S ribosomal RNA". It matches the Rfam family "Bacterial large subunit ribosomal RNA", at positions 2696 to 2925 of the family's 2925-position model. RNAcentral also lists the same sequence under 1 other name. The record is from RNAcentral. Lineage: Bacteria; Pseudomonadati; Pseudomonadota; Gammaproteobacteria; Enterobacterales; Enterobacteriaceae.